GUGGGGAAUUUUGGACAAUGGGCGCAAGCCUGAUCCAGCAAUGCCGCGUGCAGGAAGAAGGCCUUCGGGUUGUAAACUGCUUUUGUACGGAACGAAACGGUCCGGGUUAAUACCCUGGGCUAAUGACGGUACCGUAAGAAUAAGCACCGGCUAACUACGUGCCAGCAGCCACGGUAAUACGUAGGGUGCAAGCGUUAAUCGGAAUUACUGGGCGUAAAGCGUGCGCAGGCGGUUUUGUAAGACAGGCGUGAAAUCCCCGGGCUCAACCGGGGAAUUGCGCUUGUGACUGCAAGGCUGGAGUGCGGCAGAGGGGGAUGGAAUUCCGCGUGUAGCAGUGAAAUGCGUAGAUAUGCGGAGGAACACCGAUGGCGAAGGCAAUCCCCUGGGCCUGCACUGACGCUCAUGCACGAAAGCGUGGGGAGCAAACAGGAUUAGAAACCCGGGUAGUCC
RNAcentral lists this ribosomal RNA (450 nucleotides) under uncultured bacterium. RNAcentral describes it as "partial 16S ribosomal RNA". It matches the Rfam family "Bacterial small subunit ribosomal RNA", at positions 354 to 796 of the family's 1533-position model. The record is from RNAcentral.